RNAcentral lists this ribosomal RNA (455 nucleotides) under uncultured bacterium. RNAcentral describes it as "bacterial SSU rRNA". It matches the Rfam family "Bacterial small subunit ribosomal RNA", at positions 15 to 518 of the family's 1533-position model. The record is from RNAcentral.
GAUUAUGGCUCAGAACGAACGCUGGCGGCAGGCCUAACACAUGCAAGUCGAACGCCCCGCAAGGGGAGUGGCAGACGGGUGAGUAACACGUGGGAACCUUCCCUAUAGUACGGAAUAGCCCAGGGAAACUUGGAGUAAUACCGUAUACGCCCGAAAGGGGAAAGAAUUUCGCUAUAGGAUGGGCCCGCGUAGGAUUAGCUAGCUGGUGAGGUAAUGGCUCACCAAGGCGACGAUCCUUAGCUGGUUUGAGAGAACGACCAGCCACACUGGGACUGAGACACGGCCCAGACUCCUACGGGAGGCAGCAGUGGGGAAUAUUGGACAAUGGGCGCAAGCCUGAAUCCAGCCAUGCCGCGUGAGUGAUGAAGGCCUUAGGGUUGUAAAGCUCUUUUGCCGGGGACGAUAAUGACGGUACCCGGAGAAUAAGUCCCGGCUAACUUCGUGCCAGCCGCAGC